Mesocricetus auratus (golden hamster) is the source of this 1192-nucleotide long non-coding RNA. RefSeq lists it as uncharacterized. Lineage: Eukaryota; Metazoa; Chordata; Mammalia; Rodentia; Cricetidae. The transcript is spliced from 2 exons. The record is from RefSeq and is a predicted model, not a curated record.
GUGCCAUCUGGCUUUGGACUGCUAAGCAUCAGGCACUCACUGUUUUCCUGACCCAUGCGCCUCCUUUGAUGGCACUCCACAGGUUUGGAGCCCGUGUCCGCCCUUCAACGUACACGGCUGCGCGCUGGUGCUCUGCCAAAAGCCAACUCCCGGGGCUGCUCGCAGCUGACUGGAGCAGCAGUCAGGACAUCUCUGCCAUAGGAUGUUUUGUUGUUCAUGUGAGUUUUCCAGCCUUAAAGCAGACUCGGUAGCCUAAGUGUCCUAUUCCCCUCUGCCUGUGGGCCAGACUCAACUUGAUGAUGCGAGCCCAACGCGAGAAGAGAAGGAAGAUCAUUCAUUAGGCAGCAGAGGGCGCUGCACACCCGCCGGGAGACGAGCUGUUGAGCGCUACCGCCGCGGGGCGCCCGCACACUGCAUCCUGGAUAGCCCGUGCCAGCUGGGUGACGCCACCCUUAAAGACAAUGGGAGGGACACGCAGAGGGACACUAGGCAUAGCCAAGGGUGGGGAACGGUGGAGCUGGUUUCUCCCCAUGUCUUGUUCAUCCUAACGCUCUGUCCUGACUCCCAAGUUAGCCUAGCCUGCCCGGGAACUCCGGACUCCAGGACCGCUCUCAGUGUAGAAGAGCACCAUGGGCGAAAGCCAGAGCAGAUGGGGGAGGUGGGGAUGGUACCUGGGGCGCUGAGCCCGCACGGAGCUCAACUUUCCUCCAGGGAUGAGAUGGGGGAUCAGAAGAAAAUGGUCACUUUGUGACUCCCUCUUUCCCUCCAGGGAGGAUACUUAGGCUCGGCAUUUAAUCCAGCCGGAGGUCCGGGGUGGGGGGAUUUCAAUGGAGUCCACUAGGUCCUUGGCAGAUAGGGGGAGAUCACAUACCUGUGAUGGUUAAUUUUGAGUCAUAUUGACCAGACCAUUUGGGAAAGUGUUAUUCUGGGUGGUGUGUCCCUAGGGUUGAAGUGUCCGAUGCAGAGCCACUUGGCUUCAGGUAUCAUCACUACAAGGGACUGUCCCUUUCUCACACGUGCCACGCCCUCGUAGCUCUUCCGGAAAUGCAUCGCACAGGUUAUUCCACAGGUGCCUCUGAAAUCUUCCUCAUCUUCUCCUGCCUCCCCAAACCCUCAUUUUGUUAGGAUUUCCAACAGAGCACAACCUGAACAAAAGUGGUUUGAUUUUCUCUUAAAGCGGUUGCUAGCCUGC